This 253-nucleotide ribosomal RNA is filed under the name uncultured bacterium. RNAcentral's name for it is "partial 16S ribosomal RNA". It matches the Rfam family "Bacterial small subunit ribosomal RNA", at positions 524 to 776 of the family's 1533-position model. The record is from RNAcentral.
UACGAAGGGGGCUAGCGUUGUUCGGAAUUACUGGGCGUAAAGCGCACGUAGGCGGUCUAUUAAGUCAGGGGUGAAAUCCCGGGGCUCAACCCCGGAACUGCCUUUGAUACUGGUAGUCUCGAGUCCGGAAGAGGUGAGUGGAAUUCCGAGUGUAGAGGUGAAAUUCGUAGAUAUUCGGAGGAACACCAGUGGCGAAGGCGGCUCACUGGUCCGGUACUGACGCUGAGGCGCGAAAGCGUGGGGAGCGAACCGG